RNAcentral lists this unclassified non-coding RNA (400 nucleotides) under soil metagenome. RNAcentral describes it as "partial contains 5.8S ribosomal RNA, internal transcribed spacer 2, and large subunit ribosomal RNA". The stretch from base 1 to 122 matches the Rfam family "5.8S ribosomal RNA", at positions 35 to 154 of the family's 154-position model. The record is from RNAcentral.
GAUGAAGAACGUAGCGAAAUGCGAUACUUGGUGUGAAUUGCAGAAUCCCGUGAACCAUCGAGUCUUUGAACGCAAGUUGCGCCUCAAGCCAUUAGGUUGAGGGCACGUCUGCCUGGGCGUCACAUAUCGUUGCCUGAUGCCAGUUUCCUCGUGAUGGGUGACUGUGCAGGGCGAAUGAUGGCUUCCCGUGAGCAUUGUUGCCUCAUGGUUGGUUGAAAAUUGAGUCCUGGGUAGGGAGCGCCGUGAUAGAUGGUGGUUGAGUGACGAACGAGACCCAAUCAUGUGAGACCCCUACCGAAUUUGGCCUUCAUGACCCACAUGCGUCUUUGGAACGCUCAUGACGAGACCUCAGGUCAGGCGGGGCUACCCGCUGAGUUUAAGCAUAUCAAUAAGCGGAGGA